RNAcentral lists this ribosomal RNA (459 nucleotides) under uncultured bacterium. Its description in RNAcentral is "bacterial SSU rRNA". It matches the Rfam family "Bacterial small subunit ribosomal RNA", at positions 340 to 786 of the family's 1533-position model. The record is from RNAcentral.
UACGGAAGGCAGCAGUGGGGAAUAUUGCACAAUGGGCGAAAGCCUGAUGCAGCUAUGCCGCGUGUAUGAAGAAGGCCUUAGGGUUGUAAAGUACUUUCAUCGGGGAGGAAAAAACAAAACUAAUAAUUUUAUUUCUUGACGUUACCCGAAAAAGAAGCACCGGCUAACUCCGUGCCAGCAGCCGCGGUAAUACGGAGGGUGCUAGCGUUAAUCAGAAUUACUGGGCGUAAAGAGCACGUAGGUGGUUUUUUUAAGUCAGAUGUGAAAUCCCUGGGCUUAACCUAGGAACUGCAUUUUGAAACUGAAAUACUAGAGUAUCGUAGAGGGAGGUAGAAUUCUAGGUGUAGCGGUGAAAUGCGUAGAUAUCUGGAGGAAUACCUGUGGCGAAAGCGGCCUCCUAAACGAAUACUGACACUGAGGUGCGAAAGGCGUGGGGAGCAAACGAGGGAUUAGGAUACC